RNAcentral lists this ribosomal RNA (501 nucleotides) under uncultured bacterium. Its description in RNAcentral is "partial 16S ribosomal RNA". It matches the Rfam family "Bacterial small subunit ribosomal RNA", at positions 29 to 507 of the family's 1533-position model. The record is from RNAcentral.
ACGAACGCUGGCGGCGUGCUUAACACAUGCAAGUCGAACGGUGAAGGGGCCUGCUUUUGUGGGCCCUGGAUGAGUGGCGAACGGGUGAGUAACACGUGAGUAACCUGCCCCCUUCUUCUGGAUAACCGCAUGAAAGUGUGGCUAAUACGGGAUAUUCUGGGUCUGUCGCAUGAUGGGUCUGGGAAAGAUUGCGCCUUUGGGUGUUUUUGGUGGGGGAUGGGCUCGCGGCCUAUCAGCUUGUUGGUGGGGUGAUGGCCUACCAAGGCGGUGACGGGUAGCCGGCCUGAGAGGGUGGACGGUCACACGGGGACUGAGACACGGCCCAGACUCCUACGGGAGGCAGCAGUGGGGAAUAUUGCACAAUGGGCGCAAGCCUGAUGCAGCGACGCCGCGUGAGGGAUGGAGGCCUUCGGGUUGUAAACCUCUUUCGCCAGUGAAGCAGGCCUGCUCCUUGUGGGUGGGUUGACGGUAGCUGGAUAAGAAGCGCCGGCUAACUACGUG